Molecule: ribosomal RNA, 427 nt
Filed under: uncultured bacterium
Lineage: Bacteria
Description: partial 16S ribosomal RNA
Rfam family: Bacterial small subunit ribosomal RNA
Source: RNAcentral
UGGGGAAUAUUGGACAAUGGGCGAAAGCCUGAUCCAGCCAUGCCGCGUGUGUGAAGCAGGUCUUCGGAUUGUAAAGCACUUUAAGUUGGGAGGAAGGGCAUUAACCUAAUACGUUAGAGUUUUGACGUUACCGACAGAAUAAGCACCGGCUAACUCUGUGCCAGCAGCCGCGGUAAUACAGAGGGUGCAAGCGUUAAUCGGAAUUACUGGGCGUAAAGCGCGCGUAGGUGGUUUGUUAAGUUGGAUGUGAAAUCCCCGGGCUCAACCUGGGAACUGCAUUCAAAACUGACUGACUAGAGUAUGGUAGAGGGUGGUGGAAUUUCCUGUGUAGCGGUGAAAUGCGUAGAUAUAGGAAGGAACACCAGUGGCGAAGGCGACCACCUGGACUAAUACUGACACUGAGGUGCGAAAGCGUGGGGAGCAAACA